RNAcentral lists this long non-coding RNA (1254 nucleotides) under Pan troglodytes (chimpanzee). RNAcentral's name for it is "long non-coding RNA NONPTRT001865". The record is from RNAcentral. Lineage: Eukaryota; Metazoa; Chordata; Mammalia; Primates; Hominidae.
GGGGCAUGAACAUGGCUCACUGCACCCUUGACCUUCUGGGCUCAAGCGAUCCUCUUGCCUCAGGCUUCUGUUUAGCUGGGGCCACAGGCGGGCACCAAAAUGCCUGGCUAAUUUUUUUGUUUUUAUUUUGGUAGAGACGAGGUCUCACUUUGUUGCCCAUGCUGUUCUCAAACUUCUCGGCUCAAGUGAUCCUCCCACCUCGGCCUCCCAAAGUGCUGUGUUACAGGCAUAAGCCACCGCACCUGGUCUCUACUUUGUUCUUACUCUUCUUCCUGACUCUGUGAUCAGCUCUUUUUCCUCAUUGACAUCUCUUAUCACCAGCAGAGGCCUACCACUAGACACCAGGUCCGUAUUGGAAGCCUUGACUCUGGCCCAGACAUUUCUGCUGUACCUCAUGUAGGGUGAGCCCAGGACCUGCCACACUGUGCCAGCCUCGCCCAAGCCACCCUCCAGCCAGGACGCAGUCUUUCCUGACUCAGCAGGCUGAGGCACCUGAGGCUUUCAUUUUAAUUAUGAACCACUUCAAAGCCUUUCUGGAAGCAGGUGAGAGACAAAAGUGUAAACAAGUGAAUGAGUGAGUCAUCCGGCCCUCCCUGCCUGGAUAUUCCUGUCAUCCAUCCUGCCUCUCUCUCACCCACAGUCUCUGCAAUAACCAACCUGAGUUCUCUCCUAAUGUGGGGAUUGUCCUGGAGCCCAGGCCUUCCAAGGCUCCUCCGCCCGCCAACAUCACCUACCUUAUCUUCCUCUUCAGCACAUCCCCAACAUUGUCUAAGCGGUAACUCACCUGAGCAAAGCACUUGACACGGAUUCAUUCAUUUAUUCCUCACAACAACCUGAUGAGAGCACUGAAUAACUUCAAAGGGGAAAAACAAUAACCUUUACAAUGGAUAGAUCUGGCAGGAACCAUGUUAACCAAGUGAUCAAAGGUAGCAUCACCAAUAAUGGGGCAAACCGACAUCCUGUGCUUCCCCAUUGAUGCGCCGAGAAGGACACAGCAUUGCUCAUGCAGCAACCUUGUCAAAAAUGCGUAAACGGAAUCUAAUCAUGAGAAAACUGCCAGACAGCCAAACUCUUCAGAAAUGUCAAUAUAAUGAAAGGCAACAAAGAUUGAGAAUAACUUUACCAGGUUAAAGAAAACUAAAAAGAUAUGACAACUGACUGCAACGCAGAAUCCUGGACCAGACCCUGGAUCUGGUCAAAAGAAAAAUGCUUUAAACGACAGUAUUGGGACAAAGGGUAAAAUUUGAAUGUGGA